GCUGCUCACAAGAGUGUGCCCUCUACUGGAGGGGCAAAGAAACCUCAUUAUUACAGGCCUGGUACUGUGGCAUUCUGAAAUCAGUCCACUGAACUUCGGUUUCACAAGCUCCCCUUUCAGUGUCUGGUGUGAAAAUUUUCGAGAAAUUGCUCAGGACUUCAAAACAGGUCUUCACUACCAGAGUGCAGCUAUAUGGUGCUUUGCAGGAAACAAGUGAGGCCUAUCUGGUUGGACCUUUUGAAGAUAUUAACCUGUGUGCUAUCCGUGCCAAAUGUGUAACAAUUAUGCCAAAAG
This 294-nucleotide long non-coding RNA is filed under the name Mus musculus (house mouse). RNAcentral describes it as "long non-coding RNA chrX:36376806-36377100". Lineage: Eukaryota; Metazoa; Chordata; Mammalia; Rodentia; Muridae. The record is from RNAcentral.